Molecule: long non-coding RNA, 514 nt
Filed under: Elaeis guineensis (African oil palm)
Lineage: Eukaryota; Viridiplantae; Streptophyta; Magnoliopsida; Arecales; Arecaceae
Description: long non-coding RNA (EGUI_LNC010131)
Source: RNAcentral
AACCAACUGGGAGCACAUGUUGUAGAAGUACAUGACAAUCAUGACUUUUCAUCCCGACGAUCUUUUCAUCUUUCGACUUGAUGCACCGUUUCAAGUUUGAGGCGUAUCCAUCAAGAAACCUCACUGAUCUCAAAUAUGAAAGAAAUUGAUUUCUCUCUCUUCGAUUCAGUAUAUAACAUGCUAAUGGCUUCACCAGCCUAUCCCCUCGUCGAAUCAAAUGUAAUUCCUUUCUAAUCCGCAUAUCCUCUAAGUCAAGACGAGCCUUCACGGUAUCCUUCGUUCUUCCUUCGAUAUUGAGAAUGGUAUAAAAUAUAUUAUCAAAUAUAUUCUUUUCAAUAUGUAUAACGUCAAGAUUAUGUCGAAGAAGAAGCGUUUUCCAAUAUGGAAGAUCAAACAACUUGCUCCUUUUUCUUCAAUUUUCGAUACUUGUUCGCACCCCUACUUGACUGGCCAGACCCUUACCAAAUAUGACAUCCUGUGGGUUGGGUAACUGAUUUAAAAUAUUAUCCGUAGA